CCAGUCCUCCACUGCGAUGCCUUCGUCACGCCGCAGUCGCUGCUUCUCCCCGCCGUCACGGUGGCCGGCGGGGACGGUGGGAGGGGAGCGUCAAGGAUGGCCAUUGUGUCUGUGACAACUCUAGAUAAGUUAAACUUGGUUAAGCUUAAAUAAGAAGAUUAGAACCUCAAUUAGCACUUGAAAAGUCCAAAUUGCCCUCAAGAAGCUUAAAUUGGUGUCAACUCAAAACUUGAAAUUUUAUAUAGCAACUUGAAUUUUUGUCAAUCUAAGAGUUGUAGAACAUUACUUUUAC
Molecule: long non-coding RNA, 292 nt
Filed under: Setaria viridis
Lineage: Eukaryota; Viridiplantae; Streptophyta; Magnoliopsida; Poales; Poaceae
Description: long non-coding RNA (SVIR_LNC000285)
Source: RNAcentral